RNAcentral lists this ribosomal RNA (380 nucleotides) under uncultured crenarchaeote. RNAcentral's name for it is "bacterial SSU rRNA". It matches the Rfam family "Archaeal small subunit ribosomal RNA", at positions 471 to 851 of the family's 1478-position model. Lineage: Archaea; Thermoproteati; Thermoproteota. The record is from RNAcentral.
UAAAACCAGCACCUCAAGUGGUCAGGAUGAUUAUUGGGCCUAAAGCAUCCGUAGCCGGCUCUGUAAGUUUUCGGUUAAAUCUGUACGCUCAACGUACAGGCUGCUGGAAAUACUGCAGAGCUAGGGAGUGGGAGAGGUAGACGGUACUCGGGUGGAAGUGGUAAAAUGCUUUGAUCUCUCGAUGACCACCUGUGGCGAAGGCGGUCUACCAGAACACGUCCGACGGUGAGGGAUGAAAGCUGGGGGAGCAAACCGGAUUAGAUACCCGGGUAGUCCCAGCUGUAAACUAUGCAAACUCAGUGAUGCGUUGGCUUAUGGCCAGCGCAGUGUUGCAGGGAAGCCGUUAAGUUUGCCGCCUGGGAAGUACGUACGCAAGUAUG